Molecule: small nuclear RNA, 187 nt
Organism: Suncus etruscus (white-toothed pygmy shrew)
Lineage: Eukaryota; Metazoa; Chordata; Mammalia; Eulipotyphla; Soricidae
Product: U2 spliceosomal RNA
Exons: 1
Source: RefSeq, a predicted model, not a curated record
UUACCUCCAUGCUAUCUCUCUGGCCCCCGUAGUAUCUGUUCUUAUCAGUUUAAUAUCUGAUAGAUCUUCUAUCCGACGACAAUGUAUUAAAUGGAUUUUUGGCACUAGGGACUGGAAUAGGAGCUUGCUCCUUCUAUUCCACGCAUCGACCUGGUAUUGCAGUACCUCCAGGAACGGUGCACCAAAA